CGGAGGGUGCAAGCGUUAUCCGGAUUCACUGGGUUUAAAGGGAGCGUAGGUGGGUUGGUAAGUCAGUGGUGAAAUCCCCGAGCUUAACUUGGGAACUGCCAUUGAUACUAUCAGUCUUGAAGUACCGUGGAGGUCAGCGGAAUAUGUCAUGUAGCGGUGAAAUGCUUAGAUAUGACAUAGAACACCAAUUGCGAAGGCAGCUGGCUACACGAAUAUUGACACUGAGGCUCGAAAGCGUGGGGAUCAAACAGGAUUAGAUACCCUGGUAGUCCACGCCCUAAACUAUGGAUACUCGACAUACGCGAUACACUGUGUGUCUGAGCGAAAGCAUUAAGUAUCCCACCUGGGAAGUACGAUCGCAAGAUUG
Molecule: ribosomal RNA, 367 nt
Filed under: uncultured organism
Description: bacterial SSU rRNA
Rfam family: Bacterial small subunit ribosomal RNA
Source: RNAcentral